Molecule: ribosomal RNA, 784 nt
Filed under: uncultured Neocallimastigales
Lineage: Eukaryota; Fungi; Neocallimastigomycota; Neocallimastigomycetes; Neocallimastigales
Description: partial large subunit ribosomal RNA
Rfam family: Eukaryotic large subunit ribosomal RNA
Source: RNAcentral
UAUAUCAGUCAUGCAUAGCAUAUCAAUAAGCGGAGGAAAAGAAACUAACAAGGAUUCCCUUAGUAACGGCGAGUGAAGCGGGAAGGAGCUCAAAUUUGAAAUCUUCAAGGGUUUCCCUUGACGAAUUGUAGUUUAAUAGAAGUGUUUUCUGUUAGUAGAGGUGGCUAAAAGUUCUUUGGAAUAGGACAUCAUAGAGGGUGAGAAUCCCGUAUUUGAUCACUUCUUACUAACGUUGUGAUACACUUUCAACGAGUCGGAUUGUUUGGGAAUGCAGUCCAAAAUGGGUGGUAAAUUUCAUCUAAAGCUAAAUAUUGGCGAGAGACCGAUAGCGAACAAGUACCGUGAGGGAAAGAUGAAAAGAACUUUGAAAAGAGAGUUAAACAGUACGUGAAAUUGUCAAAAGGGAAGCGUUUGACACCAGUGUUGUUUUUCCGAAAAUCAAUUACGAAUGUUUUGUUUUUGAGGAGUUAUGACUUCAUCGGCUUGCUCCUUUCUUUACGAAACUUUCUUAAUGCACUUUUCGGUUAACAAGUCAACAUCAAUUUCUUUUGUUGUAAAAGGGUAUGAGGAAGGUGGCUUUCUUUUCGGAGAAAGUGUUUAUAGCCUUGUACCUCUGCAAUCGGAGAGAUUGAGGUCUGCAGCGUAGAUCCUUCGGGGUUAGAUACAUUUGUGCUAAGUUAUAGUCUUUCAUAGACAACUUGUUGACUAUAAUUUAAGUCCUUGUAACUUACUCGCUUACUGCUAUUUUACCUACGCUUAGGAUGUUGAUGUGAUACUGCGAGCA